RNAcentral lists this long non-coding RNA (586 nucleotides) under Salvia miltiorrhiza (redroot sage). Its description in RNAcentral is "long non-coding RNA (SMIL_LNC013236)". Lineage: Eukaryota; Viridiplantae; Streptophyta; Magnoliopsida; Lamiales; Lamiaceae. The record is from RNAcentral.
AACAAAAUAACUACAACCAAAAUGACUACAACAAAAUAACUACCCAAUUCACGAACACAAGUAAUUCGAAUUAAACAAUUUCACCAAAAUAAUUCACGAACCCAAUUCACGAAUUUAAAAUCAACGAAAUAGGAUACUUACUUGAUUUGAAGAAGAAGCCAUGGUGUAUGCCUUCGGACGUUGAAAAAAUCGUGAAUGCUCUCCUUGAAGUUCAAAAAAAAUGAUUCUCAUUCAAACAUGGACAAAUUAAACAAGAAAACAAAGCAAAAAAAAUUUACAUUCCAAUUUACCUUCGGUUUGGAAUGCUCUCCUCUUUCUCAAAAAUUUACCCGAUGCUCUUUCUCAUCUCUCUCUCUUUCUCGGCUGCCUCUCUCUCUCACUCUCUCUCAAAAAAUAAACUGAUGCCGUGAAUUCAAAAUGGAAUGCGGCUAGGUUAAAAGUUCUAAUUCUUAUACAUGUAAAUGGGUUUCUUGGUCAAACAAGCCUUAAAUUGCCUUGUGAAUUUGAGAUACAGCCGUGUAUAUCCCCCCAAUAAAGCUUCCGCGAUUCUCGCCUAUCUGUAUAGCCGUAUGAAUUGUCCAAUCAC